Molecule: non-coding RNA, 85 nt
Filed under: Virgibacillus salinus
Lineage: Bacteria; Bacillati; Bacillota; Bacilli; Caryophanales; Bacillaceae
Also listed under: 1 other name
Description: c-di-GMP-I riboswitch aptamer
Rfam family: c-di-GMP-I riboswitch aptamer
About the family: GEMM was predicted in a large-scale screen for bacterial structured RNA regulatory elements. Genes associated with GEMM are involved in a diverse array of functions, including chemotaxis regulation, signal transduction, secretion and chitin.
Source: Rfam by way of RNAcentral
CUCAGAAAAUAGCAAACUUAUUGAAAAAUGGGGGCGCAAAGUCACGGGUCUAAAGCUUUAUAGCUAUGGCGGCUGGACUGCCUGG